This 484-nucleotide ribosomal RNA is filed under the name uncultured bacterium. Its description in RNAcentral is "partial 16S ribosomal RNA". It matches the Rfam family "Bacterial small subunit ribosomal RNA", at positions 30 to 507 of the family's 1533-position model. The record is from RNAcentral.
AUUGAACGCUGGCGGCAGGCCUAACACAUGCAAGUCGAGCGGAUGAAGGGAGCUUGCUCCUGGAUUCAGCGGCGGACGGGUGAGUAAUGCCUAGGAAUCUGCCUGGUCGUGGGGGAUAACGUACGGAAACGGGAGCUAAUCCCGCAUCCGUCCUGAGUGAGAAAGUGGGGGAUCUUUGGACCUCACGCUAUCAGAUGAGCCUAGGUCGGAUUAGCUAGUUGGUGGGGUAAAGGCCUACCAAGGCGACGAUCCGUAACUGGUCUGAGAGGAUGAUCAGUCACACUGGAACUGAGACACGGUCCAGACUCCUACGGGAGGCAGCAGUGGGGAAUAUUGGACAAUGGGCGAAAGCCUGAUCCAGCCAUGCCGCGUGUGUGAAGAAGGUCUUCGGAUUGUAAAGCACUGUAAGUUGGGAGGAAGGGCAGUAAGUUAAUAUCUGGCUGUUUUGACGUUACCAACAGAAUAAGCACCGGCUAACUUCGUG